Molecule: ribosomal RNA, 1343 nt
Filed under: uncultured bacterium
Lineage: Bacteria
Description: 16S ribosomal RNA
Rfam family: Bacterial small subunit ribosomal RNA
Source: RNAcentral
GACGAACGCUGGCGGCGUGCUUAACACAUGCAAGUCGAACGGAAAGGCCCUGCUUUUGUGGGGUGCUCGAGUGGCGAACGGGUGAGUAACACGUGAGUAACCUGCCCUUGACUUUGGGAUAACUUCAGGAAACUGGGGCUAAUACCGGAUAGGAGCUCCUGCUGCAUGGUGGGGGUUGGAAAGUUUCGGCGGUUGGGGAUGGACUCGCGGCUUAUCAGCUUGUUGGUGGGGUAGUGGCUUACCAAGGCUUUGACGGGUAGCCGGCCUGAGAGGGUGACCGGCCACAUUGGGACUGAGAUACGGCCCAGACUCCUACGGGAGGCAGCAGUGGGGAAUAUUGCACAAUGGGCGGAAGCCUGAUGCAGCAACGCCGCGUGCGGGAUGACGGCCUUCGGGUUGUAAACCGCUUUCGCCUGUGACGAAGCGUGAGUGACGGUAAUGGGUAAAGAAGCACCGGCUAACUACGUGCCAGCAGCCGCGGUGAUACGUAGGGUGCGAGCGUUGUCCGGAUUUAUUGGGCGUAAAGGGCUCGUAGGUGGUUGAUCGCGUCGGAAGUGUAAUCUUGGGGCUUAACCCUGAGCGUGCUUUCGAUACGGGUUGACUUGAGGAAGGUAGGGGAGAAUGAAAUUCCUGGUGGAGCGGUGGAAUGCGCAGAUAUCAGGAGGAACACCAGUGGCGAAGGCGGUUCUCUGGGCCUUUCCUGACGCUGAGGAGCGAAAGCGUGGGGAGCGAACAGGCUUAGAUACCCUGGUAGUCCACGCUGUAAACGGUGGGUACUAGGUGUGGGGUCCAUUCCACGGGUUCCGUGCCGUAGCUAACGCUUUAAGUACCCCGCCUGGGGAGUACGGCCGCAAGGCUAAAACUCAAAGGAAUUGACGGGGCCCCGCACAAGCGGCGGAGCAUGCGGAUUAAUUCGAUGCAACGCGUAGAACCUUACCUGGGUUUGACAUGGAUCGGGAGUGCUCAGAGAUGGGUGUGCCUCUUUUGGGGUCGGUUCACAGGUGGUGCAUGCCUGUCGUCAGCUCGUGUCGUGAGAUGUUGGGUUAAGUCCCGCAACGAGCGCAACCCUUGUUCACUGUUGCCAGCACGUUAUGGUGGGGACUCAGUGGAGACCGCCGGGGUCAACUCGGAGGAAGGUGGGGAUGACGUCAAGUCCUCAUGCCCCUUAUGUCCAGGGCUUCACGCAUGCUACAAUGGCUGGUACAGAGAGUGGCGAGCCUGUGAGGGUGAGCGAAUCUCGGAAAGCCGGUCUCAGUUCGGAUUGGGGUCUGCAACUCGACCUCAUGAAGUCGGAGUCGCUAGUAAUCGCAGAUCAGCAACGCUGCGGUGAAUACGUUCCCGGG